This 681-nucleotide ribosomal RNA is filed under the name Triticum aestivum (bread wheat). RNAcentral's name for it is "partial small subunit ribosomal RNA". Lineage: Eukaryota; Viridiplantae; Streptophyta; Magnoliopsida; Poales; Poaceae. The record is from RNAcentral.
AUGCUAUCUCCGGAAGAGUUCAUCUUGGUAGUCACCACUUUGUGGGCACUCUGGUUUGCACGGCGACAGGCACUACAUGAAAAUAUUUUCCAGAGUCCUCUAUCAACUUACCACUUCAUCUUGAAAUUUAUUCGGGAGCUGGAUGAGUGUAAACCGAAGAAGGCGCCUGCUGUGGCACCGACGGUAGUUCCUACAAGGACAAGGUGGAUCCCUCCCCCUCAAGGAAUUGACAAAAUCCGGGUUGAUGGAGCUGUAUCCAGAGAUGGCAAUUUUGGAUCUUUUAGUGCCUUGUGCAGAACCCAUUCGGGCAUGUUUCUGGGAGCCUCGGUUAUGAAGAUAUAUGGCGUAACGGACCCGGCGACACUAGAAGCACUGGCAUGCCGCGAGGCGCUUGCACUGGCAGCGGACCUGGGCCUUGCUCGCAUCAUUAUCGCUAGCGACUGCCAAGAGGUUGUGAAAGACAUCAAGAAUAGCACCGGGGGAGCCUACGCGAGCACUACCAGGGAGAUUGUGGAAACAUCAGCUACUUUUGACAGUUGCACCUUCAUCUUCGAAGGGAGAGCAACCAAUAUUGAGGCACAUAGCCUCGCUAAGCAUGCUUUCGGUUUGGAUUUUGGGCGCCAUGUGUGGCUGUUAAACCCUCCAAACAUAUCUUGUAUCCCCAUGAACUUGUUUGAGUAA